RNAcentral lists this ribosomal RNA (2930 nucleotides) under Escherichia coli. Its description in RNAcentral is "bacterial LSU rRNA". It matches the Rfam family "Bacterial large subunit ribosomal RNA". Lineage: Bacteria; Pseudomonadati; Pseudomonadota; Gammaproteobacteria; Enterobacterales; Enterobacteriaceae. The record is from RNAcentral.
GGGUUGUGAGGUUAAGCGACUAAGCGUACACGGUGGAUGCCCUGGCAGUCAGAGGCGAUGAAGGACGUGCUAAUCUGCGAUAAGCGUCGGUAAGGUGAUAUGAACCGUUAUAACCGGCGAUUUCCGAAUGGGGAAACCCAGUGUGAUUCGUCACACUAUCAUUAACUGAAUCCAUAGGUUAAUGAGGCGAACCGGGGGAACUGAAACAUCUAAGUACCCCGAGGAAAAGAAAUCAACCGAGAUUCCCCCAGUAGCGGCGAGCGAACGGGGAGCAGCCCAGAGCCUGAAUCAGUGUGUGUGUUAGUGGAAGCGUCUGGAAAGGCGCGCGAUACAGGGUGACAGCCCCGUACACAAAAAUGCACAUACUGUGAGCUCGAUGAGUAGGGCGGGACACGUGGUAUCCUGUCUGAAUAUGGGGGGACCAUCCUCCAAGGCUAAAUACUCCUGACUGACCGAUAGUGAACCAGUACCGUGAGGGAAAGGCGAAAAGAACCCCGGCGAGGGGAGUGAAAAAGAACCUGAAACCGUGUACGUACAAGCAGUGGGAGCACGCUUAGGCGUGUGACUGCGUACCUUUUGUAUAAUGGGUCAGCGACUUAUAUUCUGUAGCAAGGUUAACCGAAUAGGGGAGCCGAAGGGAAACCGAGUCUUAACUGGGCGUUAAGUUGCAGGGUAUAGACCCGAAACCCGGUGAUCUAGCCAUGGGCAGGUUGAAGGUUGGGUAACACUAACUGGAGGACCGAACCGACUAAUGUUGAAAAAUUAGCGGAUGACUUGUGGCUGGGGGUGAAAGGCCAAUCAAACCGGGAGAUAGCUGGUUCUCCCCGAAAGCUAUUUAGGUAGCGCCUCGUGAAUUCAUCUCCGGGGGUAGAGCACUGUUUCGGCAAGGGGGUCAUCCCGACUUACCAACCCGAUGCAAACUGCGAAUACCGGAGAAUGUUAUCACGGGAGACACACGGCGGGUGCUAACGUCCGUCGUGAAGAGGGAAACAACCCAGACCGCCAGCUAAGGUCCCAAAGUCAUGGUUAAGUGGGAAACGAUGUGGGAAGGCCCAGACAGCCAGGAUGUUGGCUUAGAAGCAGCCAUCAUUUAAAGAAAGCGUAAUAGCUCACUGGUCGAGUCGGCCUGCGCGGAAGAUGUAACGGGGCUAAACCAUGCACCGAAGCUGCGGCAGCGACGCUUAUGCGUUGUUGGGUAGGGGAGCGUUCUGUAAGCCUGCGAAGGUGUGCUGUGAGGCAUGCUGGAGGUAUCAGAAGUGCGAAUGCUGACAUAAGUAACGAUAAAGCGGGUGAAAAGCCCGCUCGCCGGAAGACCAAGGGUUCCUGUCCAACGUUAAUCGGGGCAGGGUGAGUCGACCCCUAAGGCGAGGCCGAAAGGCGUAGUCGAUGGGAAACAGGUUAAUAUUCCUGUACUUGGUGUUACUGCGAAGGGGGGACGGAGAAGGCUAUGUUGGCCGGGCGACGGUUGUCCCGGUUUAAGCGUGUAGGCUGGUUUUCCAGGCAAAUCCGGAAAACUAAGGCUGAGGCGUGAUGACGAGGCACUACGGUGCUGAAGCAACAAAUGCCCUGCUUCCAGGAAAAGCCUCUAAGCAUCAGGUAACAUCAAAUCGUACCCCAAACCGACACAGGUGGUCAGGUAGAGAAUACCAAGGCGCUUGAGAGAACUCGGGUGAAGGAACUAGGCAAAAUGGUGCCGUAACUUCGGGAGAAGGCACGCUGAUAUGUAGGUGAAGUCCCUCGCGGAUGGAGCUGAAAUCAGUCGAAGAUACCAGCUGGCUGCAACUGUUUAUUAAAAACACAGCACUGUGCAAACACGAAAGUGGACGUAUACGGUGUGACGCCUGCCCGGUGCCGGAAGGUUAAUUGAUGGGGUCAGCGCAAGCGAAGCUCUUGAUCGAAGCCCCGGUAAACGGCGGCCGUAACUAUAACGGUCCUAAGGUAGCGAAAUUCCUUGUCGGGUAAGUUCCGACCUGCACGAAUGGCGUAAUGAUGGCCAGGCUGUCUCCACCCGAGACUCAGUGAAAUUGAACUCGCUGUGAAGAUGCAGUGUACCCGCGGCAAGACGGAAAGACCCCGUGAACCUUUACUAUAGCUUGACACUGAACAUUGAGCCUUGAUGUGUAGGAUAGGUGGGAGGCUUUGAAGUGUGGACGCCAGUCUGCAUGGAGCCGACCUUGAAAUACCACCCUUUAAUGUUUGAUGUUCUAACGUUGACCCGUGAUCCGGGUUGCGGACAGUGUCUGGUGGGUAGUUUGACUGGGGCGGUCUCCUCCUAAAGAGUAACGGAGGAGCACGAAGGUUGGCUAAUCCUGGUCGGACAUCAGGAGGUUAGUGCAAUGGCAUAAGCCAGCUUGACUGCGAGCGUGACGGCGCGAGCAGGUGCGAAAGCAGGUCAUAGUGAUCCGGUGGUUCUGAAUGGAAGGGCCAUCGCUCAACGGAUAAAAGGUACUCCGGGGAUAACAGGCUGAUACCGCCCAAGAGUUCAUAUCGACGGCGGUGUUUGGCACCUCGAUGUCGGCUCAUCACAUCCUGGGGCUGAAGUAGGUCCCAAGGGUAUGGCUGUUCGCCAUUUAAAGUGGUACGCGAGCUGGGUUUAGAACGUCGUGAGACAGUUCGGUCCCUAUCUGCCGUGGGCGCUGGAGAACUGAGGGGGGCUGCUCCUAGUACGAGAGGACCGGAGUGGACGCAUCACUGGUGUUCGGGUUGUCAUGCCAAUGGCACUGCCCGGUAGCUAAAUGCGGAAGAGAUAAGUGCUGAAAGCAUCUAAGCACGAAACUUGCCCCGAGAUGAGUUCUCCCUGACUCCUUGAGAGUCCUGAAGGAACGUUGAAGACGACGACGUUGAUAGGCCGGGUGUGUAAGCGCAGCGAUGCGUUGAGCUAACCGGUACUAAUGAACCGUGAGGCUUAACCUUACAACGCCGAAGCUGUU